RNAcentral lists this ribosomal RNA (496 nucleotides) under uncultured bacterium. RNAcentral describes it as "partial 16S ribosomal RNA". It matches the Rfam family "Bacterial small subunit ribosomal RNA", at positions 28 to 507 of the family's 1533-position model. The record is from RNAcentral.
GAUGAACGCUGGCGGCGUGCCUAAUACAUGGAAGUCGAGCGAACAGACGAGGAGCUUGCUCCUCUGACGUUAGCGGCGGACGGGUGAGUAACACGUGGAUAACCUACCUAUAAGACUGGGAUAACUUCGGGAACCGGAGCUAAUACCGGAUAAUAUAUUGAACCGCAUGGUUCAAUAGUGAAAGACGGUUUUGCUGUCACUUAUAGAUGGAUCCGCGCCGCAUUAGCUAGUUGGUAAGGUAACGGCUUACCAAGGCAACGAUGCGUAGCCGACCUGAGAGGGUGAUCGGCCACACUGGAACUGAGACACGGUCCAGACUCCUACGGGAGGCAGCAGUAGGGAAUCUUCCGCAAUGGGCGAAAGCUUGACGGAGCAACGCCGCGUGAGUGAUGAAGGUCUUCGGAUCGUAAAACUCUGUUAUUAGGGAAGAACAAAUGUGUAAGUAACUAUGCACGUCUUGACGGUACCUAAUCAGAAAGCCACGGCUAACUACGUG